GACGUAGGGGACGAGCGUUGUCCGGAUUCAUUGGGCGUAAAGAGCUCGUAGGCGGUUUGUCGCGUCUGCUGUGAAAACUCGGGGCUUAACCCCGGGCCUGCAGUGGGUACGGGCAGACUAGAGUGCGGUAGGGGAGACUGGAAUUCCCGGUGUAGCGGUGAAAUGCGCAGAUAUCAGGAGGAACACCGGUGGCGAAGGCGGGUCUCUGGGCCGUAACUGACGCUGAGGAGCGAAAGCGUGGGGAGCAAACAGG
This 253-nucleotide ribosomal RNA is filed under the name uncultured bacterium. Its description in RNAcentral is "partial 16S ribosomal RNA". It matches the Rfam family "Bacterial small subunit ribosomal RNA", at positions 524 to 776 of the family's 1533-position model. The record is from RNAcentral.